Molecule: ribosomal RNA, 373 nt
Filed under: uncultured organism
Description: partial 16S ribosomal RNA
Rfam family: Bacterial small subunit ribosomal RNA
Source: RNAcentral
GUAGGUGGCAAGCGUUGUCCGGAAUUAUUGGGCGUAAAGCGCGCGCAGGUGGUUCUUUAGGUCUGAUGUGAAAGCCCCCGGCUCAACCGGGGAGGGUCAUUGGAAACUGGGGAACUUGAGUGCAGGAGAGGAAAGUGGAAUUCCACGUGUAGCGGUGAAAUGCGUAGAUAUGUGGAGGAACACCAGUGGCGAAGGCGACUUUCUGGCCUGUAACUGACACUGAGGCGCGAAAGCGUGGGGAGCAAACAGGAUUAGAUACCCUGGUAGUCCACGCCGUAAACGAUGAGUGCUAAGUGUUGGGGGGGCUUCCCGCCCCUCAGUGCUGCAGCUAACGCAUUAAGCACUCCGCCUGGGGAGUACGGUCGCAAGACUG